UACAGAGGGUGCGAGCGUUAAUCGGAAUUACUGGGCGUAAAGCGUGCGUAGACGGUUACAUAAGUCGGGUGUGAAAUCCCCGGGCUCAACCUGGGAAUUGCAUUCGAAACUGCGAGGCUAGGGUACGGAAGAGGGAAGCGGAAUUUCUGGUGUAGCGGUGAAAUGCGUAGAUAUCAGAAGGAACAUCAGUGGCGAAAGCGGCUUCCUGGUCCAGUACCGACGUUCAGGCACGAAAGCGUGGGGAGCAAACAGG
This 253-nucleotide ribosomal RNA is filed under the name uncultured bacterium. Its description in RNAcentral is "partial 16S ribosomal RNA". It matches the Rfam family "Bacterial small subunit ribosomal RNA", at positions 524 to 776 of the family's 1533-position model. The record is from RNAcentral.